GCUUCUAGAUGAUACAGAGUCGGCUAAUAAUGGUGUUUCACUGGGCAUUGGAGUUGUAUCAGGGAAUGAGAGUGACAUGUCACAAGAUGCAUUUAGCUCCAAAGGAUCAGUGGUGGAUUACACAGGCACGGGGACCCCUGCUAGUAAUGACCUGUCCCCCAUCAGCCAAACCUCCCCUAUCAGUAUGAGCCCCCCUGUCCCCCGGGGUCAGCCCACAAAGCUCCGAGGUAAACAGCCCCAUAGCAGGGACCAUUGGUAAAGAGGUCCGCAUGAAGAUCCACAGCAGGAGGUUCAGGGAGUACUGUAACCAGGUCCUCAAUAAGGACAUUGACAGCUGCUGUACCCAUCUCUUACAGGAUCUGGUCCGCUUCCAGGACAGAAUGUACCACAAGGACCCGGUCAAGGCCAAAACCAAGAGAAGAAUUGUGUUAGGUCUGAGGGAAGUUACCAAGCACCUGAAACUGAACAAAAUAAAGCUAGUCAUCA
This is a long non-coding RNA of Saccostrea cuccullata (small rock oyster), 486 nucleotides long. RefSeq lists it as uncharacterized. The record is from RefSeq and is a predicted model, not a curated record. NCBI's taxonomy places the organism in Eukaryota, Metazoa, Mollusca, Bivalvia, Ostreida, Ostreidae. The transcript is spliced from 5 exons.